RNAcentral lists this ribosomal RNA (806 nucleotides) under uncultured marine bacterium. RNAcentral's name for it is "bacterial SSU rRNA". It matches the Rfam family "Bacterial small subunit ribosomal RNA", at positions 48 to 870 of the family's 1533-position model. The record is from RNAcentral.
UCUAGGCAUGCAGUCGAACGAGAUCGCUUUCUUCGGAAAGCAUAUAUCUAGUGGCAGACGGCUGAGUAACGCGUAAGUAACUUACCCUUGAGUGGGGAAUAACACAGAGAAAUCUGUGCUAAUACCGCAUACGAUUUAUUAAUAAUUUUUAUAAAUGAAAGAUUUAUCGCUCUUGGAUGGGCUUGCGUCCUAUCAGGUUGUUGGCGGGGUAAUGGCCCACCAAGCCUAAGACGGGUAGCUGGUGUGAGAGCACGACCAGCCAGAGGGGGACUGAGACACGGCCCCCACUCCUACGGGAGGCAGCAGCUAAGAAUAUUGCACAAUGGACGAAAGUCUGAUGCAGCGACACCGCGUGAAGGAUGAAGGCCCUAGGGUUGUAAACUUCUUUUAUUAGGGAAUAGCAAGGAAGGUACCUAAUGAAUAAGCAACGGCUAACUACGUGCCAGCAGCCGCGGUAAUACGUAGGUUGCAAACGUUGUCCGGAAUCACUGGGCGUAAAGGGUCCGUAGGCGGUUUGAUAAGUCUCAUAUGAAAGCUUCAAGCUCAACUUGGAGAUGUUGUGAGAUACUGUCAGACUAGAGACUGUUAGAGGUAAGUGGAAUUCCAGGUGUAGUGGUGAAAUGCGUAGAUAUCUGGAGGAACACCAGUGGCGAAAGCGACUUACUGGGACAGUUCUGACGCUAAGGGACGAAAGCGUGGGGAGCGAACCGGAUUAGAUACCCGGGUAGUCCACGCUGUAAACGAUGAUUGCUAGGUUUUCGGGGCAUCGACCCCUCGUGAGCCGAAGUUAACGCGUUAAGCAAUCC